RNAcentral lists this unclassified non-coding RNA (217 nucleotides) under Hevea brasiliensis (rubber tree). The record is from RNAcentral. Lineage: Eukaryota; Viridiplantae; Streptophyta; Magnoliopsida; Malpighiales; Euphorbiaceae.
AGAAACAGUUAAGAAUUCUUCUUUCCAGCACAACCAAUGGCAAAGCAGCUUCUUUCGGAGGCAUAAUGCAUUUGUAAGUAUCAGCAGUUGAAGACUUAAAAACCACUCAUUUUCUAGUGUAAAGCUGUCACACCAUCCCAACUCAAACUUCGGAACUGGAAAGUGAUUGCAGAGAGUGAAUAUGUGCAAGAUUCACUCUGUUAAGCUCCCUUUAUAA